This 505-nucleotide ribosomal RNA is filed under the name uncultured bacterium. RNAcentral's name for it is "partial 16S ribosomal RNA". It matches the Rfam family "Bacterial small subunit ribosomal RNA", at positions 28 to 507 of the family's 1533-position model. The record is from RNAcentral.
GACGAACGCUGGCGGCGUGCCUAAUACAUGCAAGUAGAACGCACAGUUUAUACCGUAGCUUGCUCCACCAUAGACUGUGAGUUGCGAACGGGUGAGUAACGCGUAGGUAACCUGCCUGGUAGCGGGUGAUAACUAUUGGAAACGAUAGCUAAUACCGCAUAAUAUUAAUUAUUGCAUGAUAAUUAAUUGAAAGGUGCAAUUGCACCACUACCAGAUGGACCUGCGUUGUAUUAGCUAGUAGGUGAGGUAACGGCUCACCUAGGCGACGAUACAUAGCCGACCGGAGAGGGUGGUCGGCCACACUGGGACUGAGACACGGCCCAGACGCCUACGGGAGGCAGCAGUAGGGAAUCUUCGGCAAUGGACGAAAGUCUGAGCGAGCAGCGCCGCGUGAGUGAAGAAGGUGUUCGGAUCGUAAAGCUCGGUUGUAAGAGAAGAACGGGUGUGAGAGUGGAAAGUUCACACUGUGACGGUAUCUUACCAGAAAGGGACGGCUAACUACGUG